UAAUAUGUAAAGGGAUCAUAGACACAAUUAAAGAAUAAAAACUGAAAUCUAUGGAAAAAAACAGUCUCCUGCCGUCCUGCGUCUCCUCACCGUCACCGUCAGAACGGAGCACAAAAAUAAAGAUAGUACCGUCACCGUCAAAACUCUGUUAUCGAGCCACCACUUGGUCUCGUCCACCGCAGGAAGCUGAUCUUCCACCAUCUUCGAUUCCUGCUUCCGGACUCCGGCUGUUAAAUAACCGGUUUAACAUAACCAGCGCGGAUCUCGCUAACUUGCACCCUCCGGACACUAUUGCGCACAGUUCUAUUCCGCAACCUAUGGCCACUGUUUCCUUCUCUUUCAUGUUUAAAAUUUAAACCUCGCCUGUAAAGAUUCACCGUUUGAUUAACGUGGGUUUGAGGGGAUAGAGACAACACCAGUGGAUAGCUAUAGCUUUG
RNAcentral lists this long non-coding RNA (437 nucleotides) under Actinidia chinensis (golden kiwifruit). Its description in RNAcentral is "long non-coding RNA (ACHI_LNC001091)". The record is from RNAcentral. Lineage: Eukaryota; Viridiplantae; Streptophyta; Magnoliopsida; Ericales; Actinidiaceae.